RNAcentral lists this ribosomal RNA (1552 nucleotides) under uncultured bacterium. Its description in RNAcentral is "bacterial SSU rRNA". It matches the Rfam family "Bacterial small subunit ribosomal RNA". The record is from RNAcentral.
GGGCGAAUUGGAAGCUGCCCUUGAGUUUGAUCCUGGCUCAGAGCGAACGCUGGCGGCACGCCUAACACAUGCAAGUCGAGCGAGAAAGUGACUUCGGUUGCGAGUAAAGCGGCGGACGGGUGAGUACAACGUGGAUAAUCUACCCUAAGGUCUGGGACAACCCCGAGAAAUCGGGGCUAAUACCGGAUAAGACCACAGUGUCCAAGGAUACAGGGGUAAAAGUUUUAUCGCCUUUGGAUGAGUCCACGCCCCAUCAGGUAGUUGGUAAGGUAAAGGCUUACCAAGCCUAAGACGGGUAGCCGGCCUUAGCGGGUGAACGGCCACAUGGGGACUGAGACACGGCCCUGACUCCUACGGGAGGCAGCAGUGGGGAAUAUUGGGCAAUGGGCGAAAGCCUGACCCAGCGAUGCCGCGUGAGGGAUGAAGGCCUUCGGGUUGUAAACCUCUGUCAGGAGGGACGAUGGGACUAUGUCUUGACGGUACCUCCAGAGGAAGCCCCGGCUAACUCCGUGCCAGCAGCCGCGGUGAUACGGAGGGGGCAAGCGUUGCUCGGAAUUACUGGGCGUAAAGGGUCCGCAGGCUGUCAGGCAAGUUGGUUGUGAAAGCUCAAGGCUUAACCUUGGAAUUGCAUCCAAUACUGCUUGACUAGAGUCCAAGAGAGGUUGGCGGAAUUCCCGGUGUAGCGGUGAAAUGCAUAGAUAUCGGGAGGAACACCAGAGGCGAAGGCGGCCAACUGGCUUGGUACUGACGCUCAGGGACGAAAGCGUGGGUAGCAAACCGGAUUAGAUACCCGGGUAGUCCACGCCCUAAACGAUGGAUGCUAGGUAGGGGGAAUCUAUUUCUCCCUGCCGUAGUUAACGCAUUAAGCAUCCCGCCUGGGGAGUACGGUCGCAAGGCUGAAACUCAAAGGAAUUGGCGGGGGCCCGCACAAGCGGUGGAGCACGUGGUUUAAUUCGAUGCUAAGCGAAAAACCUUACCAAGACUUGACAUGUUAACUUAAGCCUAUACGAAAGUAUUUGGUGGUUCUGGGCUUGCCCAGAACAGUUAUCACAGGUGCUGCAUGGCUGUCGUCAGCUCGUGCCGUGAGGUGUCCGGUUAAGUCCGGUAACGAGCGCAACCCCUAUCUUUAGUUGCCAUCACUUCGGGUGGGCACUCUGAAGAGAUUGCCAGCGACAAGCCGGAGGAAGGUGGGGAUGACGUCAAGUCAUCAUGGCCCUUACGUCUUGGGCUACACACGUGCUACAAUGGCUAGUACAAUGGGCUGCGAACUCGCGAGAGAGAGCCAAUCCCAUCAAAGCUAGUCUCAGUUCAGAUUGCAGGCUGCAACUCGCCUGCAUGAAGUUGGAAUCGCUAGUAAUCGUGGAUCAGCACUGCCACGGUGAAUACGUUCCCGGGCCUUGCACACACCGCCCGUCACACCACGAAAGUCGGUUCUGCCCGAAGUAGCUGUGCUAACCUUCGGGAGGUAAGUUCCUAAGGUAGGGCUGGUAAUUGGGGUGAAGUCGUAACAAGGUAGCCGUAGGGGAACCUGUGGCUGGAUCACCUCCUUCUA